Molecule: long non-coding RNA, 4434 nt
Organism: Anguilla rostrata (American eel)
Lineage: Eukaryota; Metazoa; Chordata; Actinopteri; Anguilliformes; Anguillidae
Exons: 3
Source: RefSeq, a predicted model, not a curated record
CAGGGAUAGAUUUGCGUGGUGAGGAAUAGUGUGUGUGGAAACGCAUUGUCAACGUGCAGUUCAUGUUUAUUCCUGUGAAUAUGGCCCAUCUGUGUGGAAGCACCGCAUGCCCAGUCGGUGCCUGAGAAACUUAUAUAAACUUGUUCCUCUCUCAGCCAGUAUCCCAAAGAGAACAGACAGGUCCUCUUUCCACAAAGGGGAGAAACACAAAAAGCGCAACAGCUCUCGUUACCAGAGUGUAAUUUAGGCGGCUGAUUUAAUUUGCCUCUGUGUAAAUCACUGCAAAGGUCACACGUUCCCUCUCCGCUCUCUCUCGCGACAGAGAUCCAGAAAAGGCGCUCGCUCCAAUGUCUGUUUUCCAUUUUGUUUUCCGCUACAUUCCCUCCCCCCCUUUUAAUUUUUUACUUGAACGAUUCAGUUGGGGAAUCGGAGUAAUCGCUGUCGUCCCGCAUUCCUACCAGGAGUUUUCCCGGAAGAAAGAAAUUGUGAAAACAAUAUAGAUUUUAAUGAGAUAAACGAUGAAGGGUAUUCAGUUUAAAAUGAUUGUGCAGUUUGGCCCCCCACACCCCAGUCUCCCCCAAGUGCUGUAAAUACAGAGGGAUUUGUGCCUGCCUGCAGUUGUUUGGGUGAAUGGAGGGGCAUUCGUGCAGAAUGCAGAGGUGAUUGGAAGUGGCUCUGGGCAGAGUGGAUAGCCCUCUCCUCCCCCCUUCUUAUUUUUAUUUUGUUUUAUUUAUUUAUUUUUGCUCCUGGUGCGGUGGCCGGGCAGCUCAGCCAGCUUCCUUGCUCUUCGCUCUCGCAAUUGAUUGCUGUGUCUGGGCGCCGGUUCUGCAUUAGUAUUAAUCACCAACAACACAUCUGCCCUCGCUGACCGUUACCAAGGUUACCGCGCUUCUCAUUCACUGUCCACAUUAUUGUCGAAUGAUUUUUUUUUCUCGCUGUCCUCCUCUCUCCUCCCCUGAGUGCAGAUUGAGUUUCCUGCCACUUUGUGUGCCUUCUUUCUCUUCCGGCACAUUUGCCACAUUUGGCCGUUUGCGCCUUUCCCCAGCUGAGGCUGUGUGCUUCGUGCUAAUCGCGCCUGCGCGUCAACAAAGCCCAGUGUUUCCAGAAUACCAUCAGCGGCGCUCCGCGUCUUUAUGAUGCAAAUGAUGACUGAGCUAAUUAAAGCCUAUUCUCGUAACGCUGUCUCCCGCGAUGACCUUGAUGAUGGGCUGAAGCCUGGCUCCCGGUCCUCCAAGCCUGGCGCUCCCUCAUUACCUGCUCGGUCCUGCCUUCCUCUGGGCCUCUGGAGUCCCUCACACACCUGCUGCUAACACCGCGCCACUCCACUCACACACAGAGCGGGGCCGAGGGACAAGCCGAGGCACAGCUGUAUCUGAAUUCCUGGAAAAUUGGUGAGAUCAAGAUGUGCAGCCAAGGAGGGUCUGGACCUGCCAGACGAGCAGAGGUUGGCAAGCGGUGAGUUGAAGCAGGUCUGGUGGACGGUCUGGUCAUCGAAUGAAUGCAGGAAGGAGACUUAACCUCCUUUGUUCCUUUGUGCCAGCGGCAGCCCUGAAUCUAUCGUGAGCGGCAACCGGAGGUCGCUGACGGAAGACGAGGAGACGUGAUCGUUUCGUGCUCUCUGUGUGGCUGAUUUAAACUGCAUCUUGCAUCAUGAUUUCAGGUUUGAGCACAGAAGCCAAAGAGGAGCUCCUGAGGCAAACCAGUGAUAUGGCGCCCUCCUCUGUAAGAAACAAGUAGGCCUACAUCGUUGGUAAGUACACCAUAGUGCAUUCAUAAGACUUAAACAUGAGUUAAAAAAUGUUAAAUUCUUGGACUAUAAGUGCUCUUAUGGAAACAGAAUAUACUGAAAUAUAUUGAAAUGUAUCAAAAAAUAUAUCACAACAUUUUACUAUAUGGGAAUUUCUUUGCAUGUUCUCCCCGUGUCUGCGUGGGUUUCCUCCCACAGACCAACGUCAUGCAGGUUAGGUUAAUUGGACAGUCUAAAUUGCCCAUAGUUAUGAGUGUGUGAGUGAAUGGUGUGCAUGCCCUGCGAUGGAAUGGUGUGUGUGCCCUGCGAUGGACUGGCAAACUGUCUAGGGUGUAUUCCUGCCUCUUGCCCAACGCACGCUGGGACAGCACCUCCUGUUGUCCAGACCAGGAAUAAGCGGGUAUAGAUGAUGGAUGGAUGUAAUAUAUACAAAUUAUUGCCAAUUUCAGAUAUUGCUAAAUAUAUAUUUAAAAAUAAUAAACGCUGCAAUAAGUAUUUAACAUAUUUAAGUUCCCUUUAAGUUCAUGUAGGGAUAUUCAUUUUGAGUUUGCAAUUCCAUCCAUCCAUCCAUUAUCUAUACCCGCUUAUCCUGGUUAGGGUCAUGAGAGGUGCUGGAGCCUAUUCCAGCAUGCAUUGGGCAAGAGGCCGAUAUACACCCUGAACAGGUCGCCAAUCUGUUCACUUACAAACUCAUACUUGCACUAUGGGUAGCCUACCUGCAACUUAACCUACCUGCAUGUCUUUGGACUUUGGGAGGAAACCAGAGUACCCAAAGGAAACCCACACAGACAUGGGGAGAACAGGCAUACUCCACAUAGAAAGGGCCAGGCCAGGAUUCGAACCCAUGUCCAUCUUACUGUGAGGCGCCAGUGAUACCCACUGCUGCACUAUAAAUUGUUUAACAUUAUUAGUUCUGAACAUUUUGACCAACAUCAACAAUUGAGCUUUGGAUCAGUGGGUCUUAUAAGAAGAUGAGACAUAUGCUGUUUUGCAUUUUACCUGAGUUGAGUAUUUACUUGUGCUUUAGAUUAUGAUGCCAUUUCACUGAAAUAAAUUGUACACGACUCAUUAAAUUGAUAAAUGUGGUAUCUAAAGCAUUAUAUAAUGAUUAUUCCAAGACUGUUUGCUAAUUUAACAUGUAGAUCAGUUUGUGUGUCUAGUCUGUCAUUGCUUAAUGUAACUACAAAUGUCAAAAUGUCACUGCUCUCACCCUGAAUAACUCCCCACAAAUGGAAAAACUGACAAGCAGUAAAUGCUCACUGAUGAAAGAAGAGAAACGAUGUAAACAGUGAUCACUGACAGGCACGAUGGAUUGAAUGUGUCACCAUCUUCUGCUUCUUUGUGCUUUAAUGAGAAUUUACUGAGCUUGAGGCUGGCACUGAAAGAUCUCCCUGAUCUCACCUACUGUAUCCUGCUGGCCAUGAUAACUUUUUAAUCAUGGGUACUAUUCAUCUGACCUUCUCUGAUAGCAGAUAUCCCGCCCCAAACCUCCAGUCUUGUGAUAACAGGGCUGGAGAUGUGCUACCAUAGCCGUAAUGGGUGCCAUACAAAUCACAUUUAUUCUCAAGCUGUUAGGCCAGAGUGGAACGGAACCAGGAACAAUUAUACUGUUGGAUGAUUUGAUGGACAGUCAGGUUAAAUUUAAAUCCCAUUAUAGAACAUACCAAUACCAAUCCUGUAUCAGCUACACUAUCAGCCAGGGGGUACAGUCACUGGGUGGCUUGGUUGCAGAUUUUCAGGUGUCAAUAUUCAUUAAUCUGUCAAUUGAAGGUGAACUUGAUUGUCCCUGGUGUUGCAUUAAGAGAAUGAAUUGAAUAUUUAAUGAAUUAUUGAAUAAGAAAUGCUGAUCCUGUCUUUCCAGGUAGAUGGGAUAACAGCCAGUGAGUUUAUGUAAUUUUCUUUUCAUUUAUUAUUUUUUUUCCAACAUCCAAGUGUAUUUCUCCAUUUGACCACAAGAUGAUGGUAUUGCACCAUUGAAACACAGCCGGACUUGCACACUAUUUUCCUCUUGUACACACAUGAACAGUGCAUCUAAAAUGUGAUACACCACAGAAAAUGCAGUAAGCCAGACACUUACACAAACACACAUAUACACACACACACACACACACAGUCCCGUAUUGCUAUCCUUGUGGGGACUUCCCAUUGACUACAUUAAUUCCGUAACCUCUAACCCUAACCCCAACCACUACAUGCCUAACCUUAACCCUAACCUUAAGCUAAUUGUAACCCUAACCCUAAUCCUAAAUCCUUACCCUAAAACAGCCUCUUGACCUUGUGGGGACCAGCAGAAUGUCCCCACAGCGCAUAAUGUUCCUCAUCUUUCUAUCCGUAUGGGGACAUUUGGUCCCCACAAAGGUAGUACUACAAGUUCACAUGCACACACACACACACACACACAAAAUUAAAUCCUGACCACUUCAAUCUACACAAACCACAUUUUUACACAUUACUGCUGUGUGCAAACUAUAUUUAGCACGAGCCACUUAUCUGUUAAAAAAACAUUUUCCAAAAGACAUUGUCUGGUUAAUGUCCUUUAGUACUUAAACAGAAGUGGUGAACUUUGCACAAUCACAAUAGUAAUGUUUAAAUAUUCAAGGGGGGGGUUGGUGAACAGAUUUAAUUAAUGAAUUAGUGAUAAUCCCUUCAAUAUGGACACCAUGUGGCUUUGCAACUUGAGAGGACAA